This 253-nucleotide ribosomal RNA is filed under the name uncultured bacterium. RNAcentral's name for it is "partial 16S ribosomal RNA". It matches the Rfam family "Bacterial small subunit ribosomal RNA", at positions 524 to 776 of the family's 1533-position model. The record is from RNAcentral.
UACGUAGGGGGCAAGCGUUGUCCGGAUUUAUUGGGCGUAAGGAGCGUGUAGGCGGCUUUACAGGUCCGUUGUGAAAACUCGAGGCUCAACCUCGAGACGCCGGUGGAAACCGUAAGGCUAGAGUCCGGAAGAGGAGAGUGGAAUUCCUGGUGUAGCGGUGAAAUGCGCAGAUAUCAGGAAGAACACCCGUGGCGAAGGCGGCUCUCUGGGACGGUACUGACGCUGAGACGCGAAAGCGUGGGGAGCGAACAGG